This 465-nucleotide ribosomal RNA is filed under the name uncultured bacterium. RNAcentral describes it as "partial 16S ribosomal RNA". It matches the Rfam family "Bacterial small subunit ribosomal RNA", at positions 338 to 795 of the family's 1533-position model. The record is from RNAcentral.
CCUACGGGAGGCUGCAGUAGGGAAUUUUCGUCAAUGGGCGCAAGCCUGAACGAGCGAUGCCGCGUGAGUGAAGAAGGCCUUAGGGUCGUAAAGCUCUGUUGCGGGGGAAACAAGGCAGCAUCCGGAAAUGGGUGCUGACUGAUGGUGCACCGCCAGCAAGUCACGGCUACCUACGGGCCAGCAGCCGCGGUAAUACGUAGGUGGCGAGCGUUGUCCGGAAUGAUUGGGCGUAAAGGGUGCGCAGGCGGUCCUGCAAGUCUGGAGUGAAACGCAUGAGCUCAACUCAUGCAUGGCGUUGGAAACUGGAGGACUGGAGAGCAGGAGAGGGCGGUGGAACGCGAGGUGUAGCGGUAAAAUGCGUAGAUAUAUGGAAGAACACCAGUGGCGAAGGCGGCCGCCUGGCGUGUUGCUGACGCUGAGGCACGAAAGCGUGGGGAGCAAAUAGGAUUAGAUACCCCUGUAGUC